This 440-nucleotide ribosomal RNA is filed under the name uncultured bacterium. RNAcentral's name for it is "partial 16S ribosomal RNA". It matches the Rfam family "Bacterial small subunit ribosomal RNA", at positions 338 to 795 of the family's 1533-position model. The record is from RNAcentral.
CCUACGGGAGGCAGCAGUGGGGAAUAUUGCACAAUGGGGGAAACCCUGAUGCAGCGACGCCGCGUGAGUGAAGAAGUAUUUCGGUAUGUAAAGCUCUAUCAGCAGGGAAGAAAAUGACGGUACCUGAGUAAGAAGCCCCGGCUAACUACGUGCCAGCAGCCGCGGUAAUACGUAGGGGGCAAGCGUUAUCCGGAUUUACUGGGUGUAAAGGGAGCGUAGACGGCAGCACAAGUCUGGAGUGAAAUGCCGGGGCUUAACCCCGGAACUGCUUUGGAAACUGUGCAGCUAGAGUGCAGGAGAGGUAAGUGGAAUUCCUAGUGUAGCGGUGAAAUGCGUAGAUAUUAGGAGGAACACCAGUUGCGAAGGCGGCUUACUGGACUGUAACUGACGUUGAGGCUCGAAAGCGUGGGGAGCAAACAGGAUUAGAUACCCCUGUAGUC